This 443-nucleotide ribosomal RNA is filed under the name uncultured bacterium. Its description in RNAcentral is "partial 16S ribosomal RNA". It matches the Rfam family "Bacterial small subunit ribosomal RNA", at positions 338 to 795 of the family's 1533-position model. The record is from RNAcentral.
CCUACGGGGUGCUGCAGUGGGGAAUAUUGGGCAAUGGGCGCAAGCCUGACCCAGCAACGCCGCGUGAAGGAAGAAGGCUUUCGGGUUGUAAACUUCUUUUCUCAGGGACGAAGCCAGUGACGGUACCUGAGGAAUAAGCCACGGCUAACUACGUGCCAGCAGCCGCGGUAAUACGUAGGUGGCAAGCGUUAUCCGGAUUUACUGGGUGUAAAGGGCGUGUAGGCGGGACUGCAAGUCAGAUGUUAAAACCAUGGGCUCAACCUAUGGCCUGCAUUUGAAACUGUAGUUCUUGAGUACUGGAGAGGCAGACGGAAUGCCUAGUGUAGCGGUGAAAUGCGUAGAUAUUAGGAGGAACAGCAGUGGCGAAGGCGGUCUGCUGGACAGCAACUGACGCUGAUGCGCGAAAGCGUGGGGAGCAAACAGGAUUAGAUACCCGAGUAGUC